This 818-nucleotide ribosomal RNA is filed under the name Hongkongmyces kokensis. RNAcentral describes it as "Hongkongmyces sp. SB-2021a partial large subunit ribosomal RNA". It matches the Rfam family "Eukaryotic large subunit ribosomal RNA", at positions 100 to 935 of the family's 3401-position model. Lineage: Eukaryota; Fungi; Ascomycota; Dothideomycetes; Pleosporales; Lindgomycetaceae. The record is from RNAcentral.
GGCAACAGCUCAAAUUUGAAAUCUGGCUCCUUUCGGGGUCCGAGUUGUAAUUUGUAGAGGGUGCUUUGGCGUUGGCCAUGGUCUAAGUUCCUUGGAACAGGACGUCACAGAGGGUGAGAAUCCCGUACGUGGCCGCUGGCCUUCGCCAUGUAAAGCCCCUUCGACGAGUCGAGUUGUUUGGGAAUGCAGCUCUAAAUGGGAGGUAAAUUUCUUCUAAAGCUAAAUAUUGGCCAGAGACCGAUAGCGCACAAGUAGAGUGAUCGAAAGAUGAAAAGCACUUUGGAAAGAGAGUCAAAAAGCACGUGAAAUUGUUGAAAGGGAAGCGCUUGCAGCCAGACUUGCCCGUAGUCGCUCAUCCAGGUUUCGGCCUGGUGCACUCUUCUGCGGGCAGGCCAGCAUCAGUCCAGGCGGUCGGAUAAAGGUCUCGGGAAUGUGGCUCUCUUCGGGGAGUGUUAUAGCCUGGGGCGUAAUGCGGCCAGCUUGGACUGAGGUCCGCGCAUCUGCUAGGAUGCUGGCGUAAUGGCUGUAAGCGGCCCGUCUUGAAACACGGACCAAGGAGUCUAACAUCUAUGCGAGUGUUUGGGUGUCAAGCCCGAGCGCGCAAUGAAAGUGAACGGAGGUGGGAACCCGCAAGGGUGCACCAUCGACCGAUCCUGAUGUCUUCGGAUGGAUUUGAGUAAGAGCAUAGCUGUUGGGACCCGAAAGAUGGUGAACUAUGCCUGAAUAGGGUGAAGCCAGAGGAAACUCUGGUGGAGGCUCGCAGCGGUUCUGACGUGCAAAUCGAUCGUCAAAUUUGGGCAUAGGGGCGAAAGACUAAU